AAAUCGGGUUUUCCCCUUUCCCAAAAGCAAAAUCUUUCGCCUUUUACUAAAGUUUCCGGGGAGGGAACAACUCAAUGAUCUUACUCAAUUUUUUCUAUACCCCCCACUUCGGGGGGUU
This is a small nuclear RNA of Penaeus monodon (black tiger shrimp), 118 nucleotides long. RefSeq annotates it as U5 spliceosomal RNA. Lineage: Eukaryota; Metazoa; Arthropoda; Malacostraca; Decapoda; Penaeidae. The transcript has a single exon. The record is from RefSeq and is a predicted model, not a curated record.